Molecule: long non-coding RNA, 618 nt
Filed under: Homo sapiens (human)
Lineage: Eukaryota; Metazoa; Chordata; Mammalia; Primates; Hominidae
Description: novel transcript
Source: RNAcentral
GACUUGCAUCCUCAUGAGACUCUUAAACCCCCUCCUGACCUUCAGAGAUGUUUAUCAUCAGAGAUGGGUUAUGGAAGUGAUCCUAUAGAACCUGAGAGAUUGCUUAACUCAAACUCUGCUUCUACAUUAGAGUGUCUUCUGAAAAAUGACCUCAACAAAAUUUGCUAUCUACCUAUUUACUAACAUAAAUGAGGAAACCAAAAAGGUCAACGGUGAGGCAGGAAGGUUUCAGUUCAGUGGAGAAAAGAAAAUCUUGAUGAAAUGUCAUUAACUUCCAUAUUUGGAAUAAGCUAUAAAAGCUUGUCGAAGGUCUAAUUUAUGUGCAAGACUGAAAGCUGUUUAAACGGAUAAUAUGCCUCCUUCAUGAGAAAUACCACCCCUUUAUGCUCCAUUAAGUUCAGACGUUGACUCUAUAAGCUACGUACCAAUUAUUUCUUUCCAGAAACAGCAACGUAGUUUUUUUCUGCAAGGGACAACAGAUUAUUGUAGGCGGCUAUUAAUCUCCACAUAGUUCACAAAAUACACAGGACACUAGGGAGAAAACAAUCACGUUGCUAUUUUAACAUUUGCAAAAUGCUAUGUGGAGAGGAAAUAAAAAGAAGAUGCUUGUCUGAUUGC